CCUACGGGUGGCAGCAGUGGGGAAUAUUGCACAAUGGGCGCAAGCCUGAUGCAGCCAUGCCGCGUGUGUGAAGAAGGCCUUCGGGUUGCAAAGCACUUUCAGCGGGGAGGAAGGCGGUGAGGUUAAUAACCUCAUCGAUUGACGUUACCCGCAGAAGAAGCACCGGCUAACUCCGUGCCAGCAGCCGCGGUAAUACGGAGGGUGCAAGCGUUAAUCGGAAUUACUGGGCGUAAAGCGCACGCAGGCGGUCUGUCAAGUCGGAUGUGAAAUCCCCGGGCUCAACCUGGGAACUGCAUUCGAAACUGGCAGGCUAGAGUCUUGUAGAGGGGGGUAGAAUUCCAGGUGUAGCGGUGAAAUGCGUAGAGAUCUGGAGGAAUACCGGUGGCGAAGGCGGCCCCCUGGACAAAGACUGACGCUCAGGUGCGAAAGCGUGGGGAGCAAACAGGAUUAGAUACCCCAGUAGUC
RNAcentral lists this ribosomal RNA (465 nucleotides) under uncultured Klebsiella sp. Its description in RNAcentral is "bacterial SSU rRNA". It matches the Rfam family "Bacterial small subunit ribosomal RNA", at positions 338 to 795 of the family's 1533-position model. The record is from RNAcentral. Lineage: Bacteria; Pseudomonadati; Pseudomonadota; Gammaproteobacteria; Enterobacterales; Enterobacteriaceae.